GUGCCAUCAUAUAAAUCUCGGACUUUUGGCUUUUAUACAUAUAUUCUAUAACGGGACUACUUUGGCGAGGAUGAUUACCCCGUCUGACUGGCGGCGGGCAUUACCAGUGAGUCUAGUGAAGAGAUUUGUCCUGCGGACACAGUUUGCCGGCUUCCUGCAGAGGCUGCGGGCCAAUAGUUAAGAAGAUGGAUAGCUGGCUACUUAAAGGCGAGCGAAAAUUUGUUUGCGAGCGGCCAGGUGAAGCAUACAGAGCUCUUUUGUUGGCUCUCAUACAGACGCUGAUCUGAAAGGCAUGGCUUACUGCGACUUACUGGGUACCGAAUUUUGCUGUAGUGCCUAGAUAUUGGUGCCAGUGGAUAUGACGCCAAACGAGGAACUACUCCUGUGCAAAAGGUAAAGCAGGCGCAGCUUAUAAUUCAGGAAGUACGCCAGAUGGUCCGCAUUGCGACAUAACCUGGAUGUGCUUUCCGCUCUCUACGGCUUCCAUUACACUAUUUAUGUGGUGGUUCAGCAGAAGAAAGUAAGCGAUCUUCAGGCAAUUGAUAUGACUCUGAACGGCAAGGUACCUGUUUUGACUCGCAGCACGAAUGCACUUAGUCAGGCACUGGAAUUCAUAGAGAACGUUUGCGCAUUGCGAGACACAAGUGCCUGAAGAGCAGGAGGACAAAUACCUUUAACGUAGACUGAAAUAGCGCCACAUCAAGUUGCUCGCUGUGAUACGAGGUGAUAUUGGGAUAUAUUACUAAUUUGAUCUCGUGUUCGCAAUUCUAUUGUGCACCCUGAAGCACAUUCUUUAUCUCCCGCCUGCUAUUAACAAAUAACCCGAUAGUAUUUCCAACUUCCGGUGAGAUGAGGUGUCACGGGCUGUGGACGACGUCGGGUAUCCUGGUACUGCCUUGCCCUCCAGAUUGCAGGUAUUCACAGCUAGACUGGCAAAUUAAGGACUACAAGGACCUGCAAAAGUGACAAAGGACAUUUUUCCAGGAUCGGACUUUAUUUGAUGUC
This is a long non-coding RNA of Drosophila novamexicana, 1005 nucleotides long. RefSeq lists it as uncharacterized. The transcript has 4 exons. Lineage: Eukaryota; Metazoa; Arthropoda; Insecta; Diptera; Drosophilidae. The record is from RefSeq and is a predicted model, not a curated record.